This 2537-nucleotide ribosomal RNA is filed under the name Listeria monocytogenes. RNAcentral's name for it is "partial 23S ribosomal RNA". It matches the Rfam family "Bacterial large subunit ribosomal RNA", at positions 390 to 2925 of the family's 2925-position model. Lineage: Bacteria; Bacillati; Bacillota; Bacilli; Caryophanales; Listeriaceae. The record is from RNAcentral.
UUCCCUCCAGAGUGGAUCCUGAGUACGGCGGAACACGUGAAAUUCCGUCGGAAUCCGGGAGGACCAUCUCCCAAGGCUAAAUACUCCCUAGUGACCGAUAGUGAACCAGUACCGUGAGGGAAAGGUGAAAAGCACCCCGGAAGGGGAGUGAAACAGUUCCUGAAACCGUGUGCCUACAAGUAGUUAGAGCCCGUUAAUGGGUGAUAGCGUGCCUUUUGUAGAAUGAACCGGCGAGUUACGAUUUGUUGCAAGGUUAAGCGGAAAAAGCGGAGCCGUAGCGAAAGCGAGUCUGAAUAGGGCGCAUAAGUAACAGGUCGUAGACCCGAAACCAGGUGAUCUACCCAUGUCCAGGAUGAAGGUAAGGUAAUACUUACUGGAGGUCCGAACCCACGCACGUUGAAAAGUGCGGGGAUGAGGUGUGGGUAGCGGAGAAAUUCCAAUCGAACUUGGAGAUAGCUGGUUCUCUCCGAAAUAGCUUUAGGGCUAGCCUCGAGGUAAAGAGUCAUGGAGGUAGAGCACUGUUUGGACUAGGGGCCCUUCUCGGGUUACCGAAUUCAGAUAAACUCCGAAUGCCAUGUACUUAUACUCGGGAGUCAGACUGCGAGUGAUAAGAUCCGUAGUCGAAAGGGAAACAGCCCAGACCACCAGUUAAGGUCCCCAAAUAUAUGUUAAGUGGAAAAGGAUGUGGGGUUGCUUAGACAACCAGGAUGUUGGCUUAGAAGCAGCCACCAUUGAAAGAGUGCGUAAUAGCUCACUGGUCGAGUGACCCCGCGCCGAAAAUGUACCGGGGCUAAACAUAUUACCGAAACUGUGGAUGAACCUCUUCGGAGGUUCGUGGUAGGAGAGCGUUCUAAGGGCGGUGAAGUCAGACCGGAAGGACUGGUGGAGCGCUUAGAAGUGAGAAUGCCGGUAUGAGUAGCGAAAGAAGGGUGAGAAUCCCUUCCACCGAAUAUCUAAGGUUUCCUGAGGAAGGCUCGUCCGCUCAGGGUUAGUCGGGACCUAAGCCGAGGCCGAUAGGCGUAGGCGAUGGACAACAGGUAGAGAUUCCUGUACCAGUGCUAAUUGUUUAACCGAUGGGGUGACACAGAAGGAUAGGGAAUCGCACGAAUGGAAAUGUGCGUCCAAGCAGUGAGUGUGAGAAGUAGGCAAAUCCGCUUCUCGCGAAGCAUGAGCUGUGAUGGGGAAGGAAAUUAAGUACGGAAGUUCCUGAUUUCACGCUGUCAAGAAAAGCCUCUAGGAAGAGUAGUACUGCCCGUACCGCAAACCGACACAGGUAGAUGAGGAGAGAAUCCUAAGGUGAGCGAGAGAACUCUCGUUAAGGAACUCGGCAAAAUGACCCCGUAACUUCGGGAGAAGGGGUGCUCUAUUAGGGUGCAAGCCCGAGAGAGCCGCAGUGAAUAGGCCCAGGCGACUGUUUAGCAAAAACACAGGUCUCUGCAAAACCGUAAGGUGACGUAUAGGGGCUGACGCCUGCCCGGUGCUGGAAGGUUAAGAGGAGUGCUUAGCUUCGGCGAAGGUACGAAUUGAAGCCCCAGUAAACGGCGGCCGUAACUAUAACGGUCCUAAGGUAGCGAAAUUCCUUGUCGGGUAAGUUCCGACCCGCACGAAAGGCGCAACGAUCUGGGCACUGUCUCAACGAGAGACUCGGUGAAAUUAUAGUACCUGUGAAGAUGCAGGUUACCCGCGACAGGACGGAAAGACCCCGUGGAGCUUUACUGCAACCUGAUAUGGAAUGUUUGUACCGCUUGUACAGGAUAGGUAGGAGCCGAAGAGACGUGUGCGCUAGCAUACGAGGAGGCAAUGGUGGGAUACUACCCUGGCUGUAUGACCAUUCUAACCCGCCACGCUUAGCGCGUGGGGAGACAGUGUCAGGUGGGCAGUUUGACUGGGGCGGUCGCCUCCUAAAGAGUAACGGAGGCGCCCAAAGGUUCCCUCAGAAUGGAUGGAAAUCAUUCGCAGAGUGUAAAGGCACAAGGGAGCUUGACUGCGAGACUGACAAGUCGAGCAGGGACGAAAGUCGGGCUUAGUGAUCCGGUGGUUCCGCAUGGAAGGGCCAUCGCUCAACGGAUAAAAGCUACCCCGGGGAUAACAGGCUUAUCUCCCCCAAGAGUCCACAUCGACGGGGAGGUUUGGCACCUCGAUGUCGGCUCGUCGCAUCCUGGGGCUGUAGUCGGUCCCAAGGGUUGGGCUGUUCGCCCAUUAAAGCGGCACGCGAGCUGGGUUCAGAACGUCGUGAGACAGUUCGGUCCCUAUCCGUCGCGGGCGCAGGAAAUUUGAGAGGAGCUGUCCUUAGUACGAGAGGACCGGGAUGGACACACCGCUGGUGUACCAGUUGUUCCGCCAGGAGCAUCGCUGGGUAGCUAUGUGUGGCAGGGAUAAACGCUGAAAGCAUCUAAGCGUGAAGCCCCCCUCAAGAUGAGAUUUCCCAUUUCUUCGGAAAGUAAGAUCCCUGAAAGAUGAUCAGGUAGAUAGGUUUGGAGUGGAAGUGUAGCGAUACAUGGAGCGGACAAAUACUAAUCGAUCGAGGACUUAACCAA